Non-coding RNA from Manis javanica (Malayan pangolin), 4227 nucleotides. The record is from RefSeq and is a predicted model, not a curated record. Lineage: Eukaryota; Metazoa; Chordata; Mammalia; Pholidota; Manidae.
AGCGAGGUGGCCGUCCCAGGCUGACGGGAAGGGCUGGCGUUCCCGGCUCCGGGGUCGCCCCUUGUCGGCCCUGCAGCUCGGCUCCUCGCGAGUGCUCCCCUCGUGCCACUAACCCGAGCUCUGCGGGAGCCUGCGGGUCGGGACCAUCUGCUCCCUUCUGCCUCGGGCCCGCGCCCACGGGAGGUUUCGCCCACCCCGCGCCCGGGCUGCAGCGGCCUAGCGCAGGCCCCGGGGCCGGUUCGAAGAAGCUUGGCUGCCCGGGACAGGCCGCUGCGGGGGCUGCAGUGAUUGAGGUAAGCCCCGCCUCGCCCCGCCCUCGCCGGCGAUUGGCCCAGGGAGGCUGCGGCAGCCAAUGGGCGUCUCGCCCGGGCCGCGCUUCUCAGACCUUUACUCAACCCUGUGGCCGUUGGCCGGGUCCCGGGCUGCUCUGUGUCCCCGCUUUCCUCCCUGCGACUUCCCAUCGGAAGGAGCCUUCUGAGGGGGUGAAGGGCACAGGGUCAGCACCUGGAUGAGAGGCCCCCUGGUUUUGGAUCGGAUGCGGAAGGGGUCGGAGCCCACCAGCGGGUCAAGGAGCUUUGGUCGAGCAGGCUUCAGAGGCUUGAAGUUGCCUCUGGAGUUGUGCUGCCGCGGAGCAGGCCGUGCGGAGAGAGUGGGGCCGCCGUUAACCACUAGAUGGUGCGUGGCUCCCCGUCAGUGGGUGGGCUCCUCGGAGACGGACCGCCGUCUUCCUCACGGGCCCAGGCUAAGAGAUCAGUAAGCGCUUUAGGAACGAAUAGGUGACUAGAUGAAGUACAGUUGAAACGGUUUAUAUAGGUUCCUGAAAAAACAAUAAAUGAUCGUUUUUGUCAACUCUUAAGUACUGGAUUGAAUACGCUAACACUGCUUGUCACGGUAUAUGCCAGCUCUUGACGCCGUUAUUUACAGCUACUCCAAACAAUGUACAAGGUAGAUAAGAACAUCACCUCGCUUCACGGCGGCCGACUUGGACUCCGAGCGUAAGUGAACGAGCACGUGCGCGGGCUCUGCUCGCUGAGAGGCCAGCGGGAGCCCCGGGGCGGGUGUGACCCGCACAGGCUCUCCGCGCGCAUGCGCUCGUUCUGCCCUAACCGUGCGUCCCGCCGCCCACCCCAUUCAGGCCCUCCGCGCGCAUGCGCUCGUUCUGCCCUAACCGUGCGUCCCGCCGCCCACCCCAUUCAGGCCAUGGUCGAGGAGCGCCCCGGGGCCUGGUUCGGCUUCGGUUUCUGCGGCUUCGGGCAGGCGCUGGGCUCCGGCCGCGGGCGCCACGUACGCAGCCCCGAGCCGCUGCGGUUGCCCGGCGCGGGCGCCGACGUCGUCCGCGUGAGCGCGAGCUGGAGCUACACCGCCUUCGUGACUCGUGGAGGCCGCGUGGAGCUGUCGGGCUCGGCGAGCGGCGCGGCGGUGGGCUGCAGGGACGCGUGGGCCUCGGAGGCGCUCCUCGCGGUGCUGCGCGCCCGGCCAGGCCCCGGGCCCGGGCUGGAGCUGCAGGCCUGGGCACCCGGCUCGGCGCUGCACGGGGAGCCGCUGUGGGCGCAGCCGGUGGUGCCGGCGGCCCCGAGGGAAGACGGGCCUGGCGGGGAGACCACGGCCGGAGCGCUACCCCUGCUGCCCUGUGCCCGCGCCUACGUGAGCCUGCGGCCGCCCUUCUACCGGCCUCUGGCCGGGGAGCUGCGGGCCCGCCGGCUGGAGCUGGGGGCCGAGCACGCGCUGCUGCUGGACGGCGCGGGCCAGGUGUUCUCCUGGGGCGGGGGCCGGCACGGGCAGCUGGGCCACGGCGCCCUGGAGGCGGAGCCCGAGCCCCGAGUGUUAGAGGCGCUGCAGGGCCUGCCCGUGGCCGAGGUGGCGGCAGGGGGCUGGCACUCGGUGUGUGUGAGUGAGACUGGGGAUAUUUAUGUCUGGGGCUGGAAUGAAUCAGGGCAGCUGGCCCUGCCCAGCAGGAGCCUGGCAGAGGACAGACAGACAGUCAAAAGGGAAGCCAGUGGACUGAGUGAAGGUGGUUCUGAAGGGAAGUGUGCAGGCAGGGGUGAGGACGGAGCCUCUGCCCCCUUCAUAGCCAUCCAGCCCUUCCCGGCGUUACUGGACCUGCCCCUGGGCUCAGCUGCAGUCCAGGCCAGCUGCGGAUCCCGGCACACAGCAGUGGUGACAAGAGCAGGGGAGCUGUAUACCUGGGGCUGGGGUAAAUACGGACAGCUUGGCCACGAGGACACAGCCAGCUUGGAUCGGCCCUGCCGUGUGGAAUACUUUGUGAAUAAUCAACUCCAAGUACGGGCUGUGAGCUGUGGGCCCUGGAACACCUAUGUGUAUGUGUGGAGAAGAGGAGAGCCGACGUAGUCAACAAGGACAUAAACAAAUAAAUGUACGGUAUAGCGAAUACUUACAAAGCGGACACCUGUGAAACUCCCUCAGGUCAAGGGAACCAAGCCCCGCAAGGCCCGCCGCUGCCCCUCCCCGGCACAGCCCUCCUGCUUCACCUUAGAGCUGCUCGCCCAGCUUUGUCCUCACAUUGGAAACACCCAGAGCGCUCUGGACAGAGGCCCGAGGCCAGCAUCCCAGACCCAGUGACAUCAGAGCCUCUCGGUGUGGGGCCGUGGCCGGGGUGGGCUCGAAGCUGCCCUGCCGCCGCCUCAUUGCAGCUCAGACUGGACCCUCCAGCACUGGCUAAGGAGAAGUGGUGAAGGCAUGCAUCCUUACUUGUUCCUGAUCUUAGAGGAGAGGCUUUUAGUCUCUCACCAGCACAGAGCCUUCCUAGAUGGUGUGUAAAAAGUGUUGCCUCGUAGUAUUAAUUUCAUUCGAUGACUGCCUAAGCGAAGUGCUAAAAACAAGGAACACCUUUCUGAAAGAAAAGGUAUAAUUUACAAACAUGAGAAACUGACAAUGCAAGACCAGUCUUAACUACUGCUUAAAACUUCCGAGCAAUCUGUCCUGAUCAGCACAAGAUGCUUUUUUUAAGGUUUGUUUCAUGACCCAGGGUGUGGUCUGGCUGGGUGACUAUUCCAUGUGCACCUGGAAAGAACAGGUCUUCUGCCAUUGCUGGGGAGUGUGUUCUGCAGUUGGGCCCAGCUGAUUAAUGGUACCUGCAACCGGUCCCAGAGCUCUCGGAUCUGAGCCCGCAGACCCUCACACACAGCUUCAUUUUGUGAUUUUCGCAUUUCCAGCUGUAGCAAGGAGAGCCAAUGGUUACAGCAAAGACAGCACAGAGGUGUUUAGCUCUCUGACCUCCCACUAAAUGUCUGGACCCACAUGGAAAAGAAGCACUUUUACCAGAUUGUGAAGAGGGGCUUGGAGGGCAGUGACUAUGGCAGCGUCAGCCACAUUUGUCCUCCUUAAUUGGCUCCAUAUUUAAGACUGAAGGAAAAAAAACUCAGUUUUUUCAAACUGCUACAUACCACGGAGAUCCCAGGCCCUAAUCUGGGUAGACAUUACCUGUCGUAGCAACUUUUGUAGUGUUGCAAUAUUCUCCAAAGAUAAACAAAAGGCAUCUUCAUCUUCACACAUCACAUCUCUUUCAAAGCUGUUCCACCUGAGUGCGCAAAUCCUUUUCUAGUUGCAAGAUGGUCGUCUCUCCUUCUUCCUGCUUAAGAAAAUGUUAUAAGGAUCCAAGUGCAUUUCUUGAAGAGAAGGGCAGUGGAAGAGGCUCCUGACUUAGGCUGGAUCACAACACAGCAACCCCUCAGCUUGGAACCGCAGUACCUGGGGCAUGCUCUGAACCUGACUGCACUCUCCUAAUCCUCCCGCUGCUGAUGCAUUUCUUCUCAAGUACCAUUUUGGCUGGUUUGGUGACGUGCAAUCUCUUGGUAUGGAAAACCCCACAAAGGCAGGUUUUUGGUAACUUUUCCCUUGUAUCACUAGUCACUUCUCCCUCAGUAGCUCUUUUCAUUUUCUUUCAGAGAGAGACAGCAUAGGACCAUCUGUGCUUAGCACUGCUUCAGAGUUAAAAAAAUGUUUUAUAUAUUCUGUAAACUGACAGCAAGAGGACGCUUGUCUUUGAUCAAAGCACUGUGACAUAUUAGCUGCUUCACCUCUCAACAGGGCAGCUCUACACAGUGAGAAUUACUUUGCUAGAACUGAUUAGCUAGACAGCAUGUCUCCCCCACUUCUCAUGUCCAAUACCACUCCUACCCUACAAGGAACCUUCUGUCUGCAGCCCCAAAUCCAAUCUUUCUCAAGUCUCAGACCCAGGCAGGGUCCUGAGACCCCCACCAUGUACCU